Long non-coding RNA from Formica exsecta, 352 nucleotides. RefSeq lists it as uncharacterized. Lineage: Eukaryota; Metazoa; Arthropoda; Insecta; Hymenoptera; Formicidae. The record is from RefSeq and is a predicted model, not a curated record. The transcript has 3 exons.
CUAUGUAUUAUCUAAUUUUAAAGAAGUGAAACCCAGAGAGAUCAGUACAGUUGCAGCAUUAAUUAAUAUUAUUAAUCAUGUCUACUCUAAGGCACAACUUGAAAAGAUAAAUACAUUUGUGCAUAAAAAUCUGGAAGAAUUAAUUGAGAUUGUUAAGAAGAAGAUAAUAAUACGUUGGUUACAAUUAAAAAUAUAUACACUUAUUAUCUGAUGUUUUCAUGAUUGGACAAAAUAAAAUGGGAAUGACCAACUAAUACAAGUUGAUGAAGGGUAACACAAUUGUAACAGUUGCACAUAUUAUGAAUAAGUUUUUAUAUCAUUUCUUUAGUUUUGUUUUUAUAUAUUAUUUCUC